GAAGGCCACAUCUGGAGCCAGAGCAGUGUUGAAGGGAUCACAGCUGGCAGCUAAGACUGUGCAGACCCUCGAGCAGUUGGCCAGAGAUCAGUCCCAGAGCUGAGCUACAGAAAAGAUCUGAGGGGCAGCUGCUACUUCACAAUGACUGAAACAUCCUGUCUUUUCUGGAUUAUGUCUCCUACUGGUGUUAGUGUAUCCUAGCAUUCAGG
Molecule: long non-coding RNA, 209 nt
Filed under: Cyanistes caeruleus (blue tit)
Lineage: Eukaryota; Metazoa; Chordata; Aves; Passeriformes; Paridae
Description: lncRNA (ENSCCEG00000017414.1)
Source: RNAcentral